Long non-coding RNA from Alligator sinensis (Chinese alligator), 1560 nucleotides. RefSeq lists it as uncharacterized. The transcript has 4 exons. The record is from RefSeq and is a predicted model, not a curated record. Lineage: Eukaryota; Metazoa; Chordata; Crocodylia; Alligatoridae.
ACUUGCAGGAAAUACAAUCUUAUUCCUCUACCAGUUGGCAUCUGUGCUGGGGAGGCCAAAUCUUCUGUUGAUGAUUAUCUACAGCAAGGGAUGCCUGGCACUCCACUGGCCAUUUUAAGAAGACAGGACCCUCAGCAUUAUGAGAUCACAAUCAUGGGGCCAAGCUGGUCCUGAAUACCUUCACCACUACAUGACUUCAACGGCCAUAGGUGAGAAGGGACAGAAAAUUGGAGACCAUCUGCCUGUACAACUCUAAUAUCCCAGGAAAGCCAAAAGCCAUCCCGAAUGGACCAGAUCUUUCAACAACCAGAUGCAGAAUGCACAGUCCCACUACUCAGGAACCUUCCUAACACCUAUCCGCAAUGACUCCACAUCUGGAAACCACCACCCAACCUGUCACCCACUGAACAAGGGAAAACAAGGGCCACGCCAAGACCAGAUCCUGCAUGUGUAAAAUCCCAGAAGUAAGGAAGUCACAGAAGGCAGCAUCGGUACCACAGAAGUCUUGAUUGCAUCUGGGGGUAUCAGGCAAAGAUCUAACACUUUCAUCCCACCCUGUGCUGCCAAACAUCCUGGGUGUCCCCCCACAAUGCUACUAUGCUGUUUGCAGUGCCGGAGGUGUGCUGGGUACACACAGGCAAAUAUACCUUCUCAUGGAGUUUCCUGAGUUGGGGUAUAGGGCAGGUGUGGGCAGAAAAGGGCUACACCCUCCAGAGAGAUUAGCUGGGCAUGAAGCAAAGAGGGAUUUAAACCCGAUAUCACAGCCAUUGAAAGCUGGCCUUUCCCAGCCCUGCCCCUGUUUCUCCCUGUGGCACCUGGUGCAGUCAUACACAGUCAUACACGCACCCCCGCCUCAUGAAAAGUGGCCUGAACCUUUGCACCAGGCCUGCCCCAUGGGAGGGAUAGAGGUGAGGGGGGAAGAGGCUGGAUUCCAUCCCAGGGAUAGUGAAGAGCCCAGCUUGGGAGAGGGCAAGGCAGCCACAAAGGGGGCAGGUUUUAUAUUGCCCAGAUAAGGGAGAGAGCCCAGCUGAAAUUCCUAGAUAACCUCUGGCAGAUAUAUGACUGGUCGGCAGAGACCUGCCCUCCCCUCCUCUGGUAAAUUAAAGCAUCCUGGCAAGCAAAGCCCCCAAGAUGUAAAUUACUGAAUUAACUUGGGGAGCAGAGUGGGGCCUGGAGGAGAGGCAGGGGCUGCACAGAGAUGCCCCCACGGCUUUAUGUAAACAGGCAGUCAGGCUCACUUCCCCUUUUGCUGCUUCCUCCAACAACUUUUCCCUCAGUCUCCGUUCCCAGAAGACGAGUAAACUGAGUCCCCCUCCUCCUUCCUCCUCACUCUGUCUGGUUGGGGGCUGUUGGGAGCCUGUUAGAGCUCCUUGUGGUCACAGACCUUAAAGACAGCAGAUCACACAUGUAAUAUCUUUAAUAAUGACACGAUGUGUAUAUGUGUGUGCACAUGCACACACAGGCCUUCUUAUCUAGGUGAGAGGGAUAUUUUGUGUGAAUAGGCCCCAAUGAAGAGAACAACGAACUUCACAAAGUUUCUUCUCCACGAAGUCCCUGAAU